RNAcentral lists this ribosomal RNA (751 nucleotides) under uncultured Planctomycetota bacterium. RNAcentral describes it as "bacterial SSU rRNA". It matches the Rfam family "Bacterial small subunit ribosomal RNA", at positions 11 to 780 of the family's 1533-position model. Lineage: Bacteria; Pseudomonadati; Planctomycetota. The record is from RNAcentral.
GUUUGAUCCUGGCUCAGAACGAACGUUGGCGGCGUGGAUUAGGCAUGCAAGUCGAACGAAUCCCUAGCAAUAGGGGGAAGUGGCGUAAGGGGCAGUAAGGCAUGGGUAACUUACCCCGCAGUCUGGGAUAGCCCGUCGAGAGACGGGGUAAUACCGGGCGAUGUCGUGACCAGGCCUCUGGUUACGAUCAAAGAUUUAUCGCUGCGGGCGAGGCUCAUGUAGUAUUAGCUAGUUGGUGGGGUAACGGCCCACCAAGGCUGAGAUGCUUAGCGGGUGUGAGAGCACGACCCGCGCCACUGGCACUGAGACACUGGCCAGACACCUACGGGUGGCUGCAGUCGAGAAUCUUCGGCAAUGGGGGCAACCCUGACCGAGCGACGCCGCGUGGGCGAUGAAGGCCUUCGGGUUGUAAAGCCCUGUCGAGGGGGAGGAAAGGCAACUUGACCUAUCCCUGGAGGAAGCACGGGCUAAGUUCGUGCCAGCAGCCGCGGUAAGACGAACCGUGCGAACGUUGUUCGGAAUCACUGGGCUUAAAGGGCGCGUAGGCGGAUGGCCGCGUCUGGGGUGAAAUCCUCCCGCUCAACGGGAGAAUGGCCUUGGAUACGGGCGAUCUGGAGGAAGGUAGGGGCGUGCGGAACUAUGGGUGGAGCGGUGAAAUGCGUUGAGAUCCAUAGGAACUCCGGUGGCGAAGGCGGCACGCUGGACCUUUACUGACGCUGAGGUGCGAAAGCCAGGGGAGCGAACGGGAUUA